UUAAGCUACAAAGAGCGUAGGGUGAAUAGCUAGGCACCAAGAGCCGAAGAAGGACGUGAUAAGCUGCGAAAAGCUUUGGGUAGGAGCAAAUAUCCAUUAAUCCAGAGAUAUCCGAAUGAGGGAACUCACUUAGAGCAAACAAUCUAAGUAUCCAUAUAUGAGUAAAGUAGUAUAUGAGAAGGGAACGUGGGGAACUGAAACAUCUUAGUACCCACAGGAAAAGAAAGAGAAAUCGAUUCCUAGAGUAGUGGCGAGCGAAAUAGGAAGAGCCUAAACCAUGAGUAGUAAUACACAUGGGGUUCGGACCACGAUAUAUUAUCAAUAAUUCUAAUAGAAAUGUUUUGGAAAAGCAUACCAUAGACGGUGAAAGUCCAGUAUAUGAAAGAAAAGUUGAGAUUAGUGGUAUCCAGAGUAGUACGAGACACGAGAAAUCUCGUAUGAAUAAGCGGGGACCAUCCCGUAAGGCUAAAUACUACUUGGUGACCGAUAGUGAACUAGUACCGUGAGGGAAAGGUGAAAAGAACCCCGGGAGGGGAGUGAAAUAGAACAUGAAACCCUAUGUUUACAAGCAGACAAAGCACUUUAUAUGUGCGAUGUCGUACUUUUUGUAGAACGGUCCAGCGAGUUAUUGUGUAUGGCGAGGUUAAGUAUUACGUAAGGUACGGAGCCGAAGCGAAAGCGAGUCUGAAAAGGGCGAUAUAAGUCAUGCAUAAUAGACCCGAAACUGAGUGACCUAUCCAUGAGCAGGAUGAAGCUAGAGUAAAAUCUAGUGGAGGUCCGAACUGAUUGUCGUUAAAAAGGCACCGGAUGACUUGUGGAUAGCGGAGAAAUUCCAAUCGAACUCAGAGAUAGCUGGUUCUCCUCGAAAUAGCUUUAGGGCUAGCCUUGAGGGAAUGCAUAUGGGGGUAGAGCACUGAAUGAGGUAGGGGCCUAACCAGGUUACCAAACUCUAUCAAACUCCGAAUACCAUAUGUAAAUACUCAGGAGUCAGACUGCGGGAGCUAAGUUCCGUGGUCAAAAGGAAAACAGUCCAGAUCGUCAAUUAAGGUCCCAAAGAUAUAGCUAAGUGGAAAACGAUGUGAUUUUGCAUAAACAACCAGGAUGUUGGCUCAGAAGCAGCCAUUCAUUCAAAGAGUGCGUAAUAGCUCACUGGUCGAGUGAAGUUGCGCGGAAAAUUACCGGGGCUAAGCUAUACACCGAAAUUGCGGAUUUACAUUUGAAAGACAAUGUAAGUGGUAGAGGAGCAUUCUGUAGUAGGAAGAAGCAUGACCGUAAGGACAUGUGGACGAAGCAGAAGAGAGAAUGCUGGAAUAAGUAGCGAGAGGAUGGUGAGAAUCCAUCCCGUCGAAAAUCUAAGGUUUCCCAGGGAAGGUUCGUCCGCCUGGGGUAAGUCGGGACCUAAGGAGAGGCCGAAAGGCGUAUCUGAUGGAUAGCAGGUUGAAAUUCCUGCACUACGAAUAUACUUAAAAGAUUCAAGGGACGCAGAAGUGGAAGAUAACCAAGUAAGAGGAAAAGCUUGGCUCGCAAGAGGGAGUGAAAAUUAAAAGUAACGAAGUAUCAAGAAGCACGCUGACGAGAAAAGCUUGAAGAUAUUGUAUAUAAGUACCCGUACCGCAAACCGACACAGGUAGAUGAGGAGAGGAUCCUAAGACGAGCGGGAGAAGCAUUGUUAAGGAACUCGGCAAACUAACCCCGUAACUUCGGAAUAAGGGGUGCUGAUGUAACAGUCAGUCGCAGAGAAAAGGCCCAAGCAACUGUUUAACAAAAACAUAGGUUUCUGCUAAAUCGAAAGAUGAAGUAUAGGAGCUGACGCCUGCCCAGUGCUGGAAGGUUAAGGGAAAGAGUUAGGGUUAAACCGAAGCUUAGAACUGAAGCCCCAGUGAACGGCGGCCGUAACUAUAACGGUCCUAAGGUAGCGAAAUUCCUUGUCAGGUAAG
RNAcentral lists this ribosomal RNA (1937 nucleotides) under human metagenome. RNAcentral describes it as "bacterial LSU rRNA". It matches the Rfam family "Bacterial large subunit ribosomal RNA", at positions 3 to 1980 of the family's 2925-position model. The record is from RNAcentral.